Molecule: ribosomal RNA, 389 nt
Filed under: uncultured Turicibacter sp.
Lineage: Bacteria; Bacillati; Bacillota; Erysipelotrichia; Erysipelotrichales; Turicibacteraceae
Description: bacterial SSU rRNA
Rfam family: Bacterial small subunit ribosomal RNA
Source: RNAcentral
AGAGGGUUUCCUUCGGGGACAAUGGAUACAGGUGGUGCAUGGUUGUCGUCAGCUCGUGUCGUGAGAUGUUGGGUUAAGUCCCGCAACGAGCGCAACCCCUGUCGUUAGUUGCCAGCAGUGAGAUGGGGACUCUAACGAGACUGCCAGUGACAAACUGGAGGAAGGUGGGGAUGACGUCAAAUCAUCAUGCCCCUUAUGACCUGGGCUACACACGUGCUACAAUGGUUGGUACAAAGAGAAGCGAAGCGGUGACGUGGAGCAAACCUCAUAAAGCCAAUCUCAGUUCGGAUUGUAGGCUGCAACUCGCCUACAUGAAGUUGGAAUCGCUAGUAAUCGCGAAUCAGAAUGUCGCGGUGAAUACGUUCCCGGGUCUUGUACACACCGAAAAA